Molecule: ribosomal RNA, 403 nt
Filed under: bacterium
Lineage: Bacteria
Description: partial 16S ribosomal RNA
Rfam family: Bacterial small subunit ribosomal RNA
Source: RNAcentral
UGGGGAAUAUUGCACAAUGGGGGAAACCCUGAUGCAGCGACGCCGCGUGAACGAAGAAGGUAUUCGUAUCGUAAAGUUCUGUCCUAUGGGCAGAUAAUGACAGUACCAUAGAAGAAAGCUUCGGCUAAAUACGUGCCAGCAGCCGCGGUAAUACGUAUGGAGCGAGCGUUGUCCGGGAUUAUUGGGCGUAAAGGGUACGCAGGCGGUUUAAUAAGUCGAAUGUUAAAGAUCGGGGCUCAACCCCGCAAAGCAUUGGAAACUGAUAAACUUGAGUAGUGGAGAGGAAAGUGGAAUUCCUAGUGUAGGAGUGAAAUACGUAGAUAUUAGGAGGAGUACCAGUAGCGAAGGCGACUUUCUGGACACAAACUGACGCUGAGGUACGAAAGCGUAGGGAGCAAACAGG